UGCCCAGUGGUCUAGAGGUCACGUGUUCGCGCAUGAGACUGAAGGUCGUGGGUUCGAAUCCCACUUGUGUG
This 71-nucleotide transfer RNA is filed under the name Schistosoma mansoni. The record is from RNAcentral. Lineage: Eukaryota; Metazoa; Platyhelminthes; Trematoda; Strigeidida; Schistosomatidae.